Molecule: non-coding RNA, 84 nt
Organism: Terfezia claveryi
Lineage: Eukaryota; Fungi; Ascomycota; Pezizomycetes; Pezizales; Pezizaceae
Source: the annotation of a GenBank genome assembly
GGGUGCAUGGUUUAGGGGUAUAACAUCUCAUUUGCAAGUUGACUUGAUUUGAGAAGGUCCGGGGUUCGAUUCCCCGUGCUUCCA